AGAGAGAGUUAAAAGCACGUGAAGCCGUUGAAAGGGAAACGCGCUCGGCUAGCAAUGUGCCACGACGGUUCAGCCGUCUUGGGCGGCGGGGCGGUAGUUGUCGGAUCCGAAUGGACCGCGGCUGCCGUGGUCGUCGUCCGAGAUGCGGUGCACUCUUUCGUGGUACGCGUCAGCGUCGGUUCACGGCGGGCGACAAGGCUCUGCGGAAGGUAGCUUGAAGCUUGCUUCAAGUGUUAUAGACGUGGAAGCUGGGUCUGCCGUGGACCGAGGAGAGAGAGUAUCGUUGCAGCGCAUGCCGCAAGGCUAGCUACCCGUUGUCCGGCUCGCUUCACGGUCUGAGGACUGCACGCAGUGCUCGGGUUGGCGGAGUGGUCUGAUGGUGGUGUGGUAUAAAUGCGCUCAGGACGCUGGCGUCCAAAUGGCCGUGCGCGACCCGUCUUGAAACACGGAA
RNAcentral lists this ribosomal RNA (451 nucleotides) under Borojevia aff. aspina OV-2017. RNAcentral's name for it is "eukaryotic LSU rRNA". Lineage: Eukaryota; Metazoa; Porifera; Calcarea; Clathrinida; Clathrinidae. The record is from RNAcentral.